GCCCGGAUAGCUCAGUUGGUAGAGCAGAGGAUUGAAAAUCCUCGUGUCCUUGGUUCGAU
Molecule: transfer RNA, 59 nt
Filed under: gamma proteobacterium IMCC1989
Lineage: Bacteria; Pseudomonadati; Pseudomonadota; Gammaproteobacteria; Alteromonadales
Rfam family: tRNA
About the family: Transfer RNA (tRNA) molecules are approximately 80 nucleotides in length.
Source: Rfam by way of RNAcentral